Molecule: ribosomal RNA, 254 nt
Filed under: uncultured bacterium
Lineage: Bacteria
Description: partial 16S ribosomal RNA
Rfam family: Bacterial small subunit ribosomal RNA
Source: RNAcentral
UACGGAGGGUGCGAGCGUUGUCCGGAAUCACUGGGCGUAAAGGGCGCGUAGGCGGCGCGGAAAGUCAACGGUGAAAGCUUGGGGCUCAACCCCGAGUCGGCCGUCGAUACUUCCGUGUUCGAGCACUGUAGAGGCAGGUGGAAUUCCGGGUGUAGCGGUGGAAUGCGUAGAGAUCCGGAAGAACACCGGUGGCGAAGGCGGCCUGCUGGGCAGUAGCUGACGCUGAUGCGCGACAGCGUGGGGAGCAAACAGGG